ACUAAGCGUACACGGUGGAUGCCCUGGCAGUCAGAGGCGAUGAAGGACGUGCUAAUCUGCGAUAAGCGUCGGUAAGGUGAUAUGAACCGUUAUAACCGGCGAUUUCCGAAUGGGGAAACCCAGUGUGUUUCGACACACUAUCAUUAACUGAAUCCAUAGGUUAAUGAGGCGAACCGGGGGAACUGAAACAUCUAAGUACCCCGAGGAAAAGAAAUCAACCGAGAUUCCCCCAGUAGCGGCGAGCGAACGGGGAGCAGCCCAGAGCCUGAAUCAGUGUGUGUGUUAGUGGAAGCGUCUGGAAAGGCGCGCGAUACAGGGUGACAGCCCCGUACACAAAAAUGCACAUGCUGUGAGCUCGAUGAGUAGGGCGGGACACGUGGUAUCCUGUCUGAAUAUGGGGGGACCAUCCUCCAAGGCUAAAUACUCCUGACUGACCGAUAGUGAACCAGUACCGUGAGGGAAAGGCGAAAAGAACCCCGGCGAGGGGAGUGAAAAAGAACCUGAAACCGUGUACGUACAAGCAGUGGGAGCACGCUUAGGCGUGUGACUGCGUACCUUUUGUAUAAUGGGUCAGCGACUUAUAUUCUGUAGCAAGGUUAACCGAAUAGGGGAGCCGAAGGGAAACCGAGUCUUAACUGGGCGUUAAGUUGCAGGGUAUAGACCCGAAACCCGGUGAUCUAGCCAUGGGCAGGUUGAAGGUUGGGUAACACUAACUGGAGGACCGAACCGACUAAUGUUGAAAAAUUAGCGGAUGACUUGUGGCUGGGGGUGAAAGGCCAAUCAAACCGGGAGAUAGCUGGUUCUCCCCGAAAGCUAUUUAGGUAGCGCCUCGUGAAUUCAUCUCCGGGGGUAGAGCACUGUUUCGGCAAGGGGGUCAUCCCGACUUACCAACCCGAUGCAAACUGCGAAUACCGGAGAAUGUUAUCACGGGAGACACACGGCGGGUGCUAACGUCCGUCGUGAAGAGGGAAACAACCCAGACCGCCAGCUAAGGUCCCAAAGUCAUGGUUAAGUGGGAAACGAUGUGGGAAGGCCCAGACAGCCAGGAUGUUGGCUUAGAAGCAGCCAUCAUUUAAAGAAAGCGUAAUAGCUCACUGGUCGAGUCGGCCUGCGCGGAAGAUGUAACGGGGCUAAACCAUGCACCGAAGCUGCGGCAGCGACGCUUAUGCGUUGUUGGGUAGGGGAGCGUUCUGUAAGCCUGUGAAGGUGUGCUGUGAGGCAUGCUGGAGGUAUCAGAAGUGCGAAUGCUGACAUAAGUAACGAUAAAGCGGGUGAAAAGCCCGCUCGCCGGAAGACCAAGGGUUCCUGUCCAACGUUAAUCGGGGCAGGGUGAGUCGACCCCUAAGGCGAGGCCGAAAGGCGUAGUCGAUGGGAAACAGGUUAAUAUUCCUGUACUUGGUGUUACUGCGAAGGGGGGACGGAGAAGGCUAUGUUGGCCGGGCGACGGUUGUCCCGGUUUAAGCGUGUAGGCUGGUUUUCCAGGCAAAUCCGGAAAAUCAAGGCUGAGGCGUGAUGACGAGGCACUACGGUGCUGAAGCAACAAAUGCCCUGCUUCCAGGAAAAGCCUCUAAGCAUCAGGUAACAUCAAAUCGUACCCCAAACCGACACAGGUGGUCAGGUAGAGAAUACCAAGGCGCUUGAGAGAACUCGGGUGAAGGAACUAGGCAAAAUGGUGCCGUAACUUCGGGAGAAGGCACGCUGAUAUGUAGGUGAAGUCCCUCGCGGAUGGAGCUGAAAUCAGUCGAAGAUACCAGCUGGCUGCAACUGUUUAUUAAAAACACAGCACUGUGCAAACACGAAAGUGGACGUAUACGGUGUGACGCCUGCCCGGUGCCGGAAGGUUAAUUGAUGGGGUUAGCGCAAGCGAAGCUCUUGAUCGAAGCCCCGGUAAACGGCGGCCGUAACUAUAACGGUCCUAAGGUAGCGAAAUUCCUUGUCGGGUAAGUUCCGACCUGCACGAAUGGCGUAAUGAUGGCCAGGCUGUCUCCACCCGAGACUCAGUGAAAUUGAACUCGCUGUGAAGAUGCAGUGUACCCGCGGCAAGACGGAAAGACCCCGUGAACCUUUACUAUAGCUUGACACUGAACAUUGAGCCUUGAUGUGUAGGAUAGGUGGGAGGCUUAGAAGUGUGGACGCCAGUCUGCAUGGAGCCGACCUUGAAAUACCACCCUUUAAUGUUUGAUGUUCUAACGUUGACCCGUAAUCCGGGUUGCGGACAGUGUCUGGUGGGUAGUUUGACUGGGGCGGUCUCCUCCUAAAGAGUAACGGAGGAGCACGAAGGUUGGCUAAUCCUGGUCGGACAUCAGGAGGUUAGUGCAAUGGCAUAAGCCAGCUUGACUGCGAGCGUGACGGCGCGAGCAGGUGCGAAAGCAGGUCAUAGUGAUCCGGUGGUUCUGAAUGGAAGGGCCAUCGCUCAACGGAUAAAAGGUACUCCGGGGAUAACAGGCUGAUACCGCCCAAGAGUUCAUAUCGACGGCGGUGUUUGGCACCUCGAUGUCGGCUCAUCACAUCCUGGGGCUGAAGUAGGUCCCAAGGGUAUGGCUGUUCGCCAUUUAAAGUGGUACGCGAGCUGGGUUUAGAACGUCGUGAGACAGUUCGGUCCCUAUCUGCCGUGGGCGCUGGAGAACUGAGGGGGGCUGCUCCUAGUACGAGAGGACCGGAGUGGACGCAUCACUGGUGUUCGGGUUGUCAUGCCAAUGGCACUGCCCGGUAGCUAAAUGCGGAAGAGAUAAGUGCUGAAAGCAUCUAAGCACGAAACUUGCCCCGAGAUGAGUUCUCCCUGACUCCUUGAGAGUCCUGAAGGAACGUUGAAGACGACGACGUUGAUAGGCCGGGUGUGUAAGCGCAGCGAUGCGUUGAGCUAACCGGUACUAAUGAACCGUGAGGCUUAACC
This 2893-nucleotide ribosomal RNA is filed under the name Escherichia coli. Its description in RNAcentral is "bacterial LSU rRNA". It matches the Rfam family "Bacterial large subunit ribosomal RNA". Lineage: Bacteria; Pseudomonadati; Pseudomonadota; Gammaproteobacteria; Enterobacterales; Enterobacteriaceae. The record is from RNAcentral.